Molecule: ribosomal RNA, 253 nt
Filed under: uncultured bacterium
Lineage: Bacteria
Description: partial 16S ribosomal RNA
Rfam family: Bacterial small subunit ribosomal RNA
Source: RNAcentral
UACGAAGGACCCGAGCGUUAUCCGGAUUUAUUGGGUUUAAAGGGAGCGUAGGCGGCCCAUUAAGUCAGAGGUGAAAGACGGUAGCUCAACUAUCGCAGUGCCUUUGAUACUGAUGGGCUUGAAUACAGAUGAGGUAGGCGGAAUGUGACAAGUAGCGGUGAAAUGCAUAGAUAUGUCACAGAACACCGAUUGCGAAGGCAGCUUACUAAACUGUGAUUGACGCUGAGGCUCGAAAGCGUGGGGAUCAAACAGG